This 372-nucleotide ribosomal RNA is filed under the name uncultured organism. RNAcentral describes it as "bacterial SSU rRNA". It matches the Rfam family "Bacterial small subunit ribosomal RNA", at positions 526 to 896 of the family's 1533-position model. The record is from RNAcentral.
CGUAGGAGGCGAGCGUUAUCCGGAUUUACUGGGCGUAAAGCGCGUGUAGGCGGUUCGGUAAGUUGGAUGUGAAAUCUCCUGGCUCAACUGGGAGAGGUCGUUCAAUACUGCCAGACUAGAGGACGGUAGAGGAAGGUAGAAUUCCCGGUGUAGUGGUGAAAUGCGUAGAUAUCGGGAGGAAUACCAGUGGCGAAGGCGGCCUUCUGGGCCGUUCCUGACGCUCAGACGCGAAAGCGUGGGUAGCGAACGGGAUUAGAAACCCCGGUAGUCCACGCUGUAAACGAUGCGGACUUGGUGUUGGUGGCGUAAAAACCAUCAGUGCCGAAGCUAACGCGUUAAGUCCGCCGCCUGGGGACUACGGUCGCAAGAUUA